Molecule: ribosomal RNA, 529 nt
Filed under: Campylobacter coli
Lineage: Bacteria; Pseudomonadati; Campylobacterota; Epsilonproteobacteria; Campylobacterales; Campylobacteraceae
Description: partial 23S ribosomal RNA
Rfam family: Bacterial large subunit ribosomal RNA
Source: RNAcentral
CUCCCGACUGUUUACCAAAAACACAGCACUCUGCUAACUCGUAAGAGGAUGUAUAGGGUGUGACGCCUGCCCGGUGCUCGAAGGUUAAUUGAUGGGGUUAGCAUUAGCGAAGCUCUUGAUCGAAGCCCGAGUAAACGGCGGCCGUAACUAUAACGGUCCUAAGGUAGCGAAAUUCCUUGUCGGUUAAAUACCGACCUGCAUGAAUGGCGUAACGAGAUGGGAGCUGUCUCAAAGAGGGAUCCAGUGAAAUUGUAGUGGAGGUGAAAAUUCCUCCUACCCGCGGCAAGACGGAGAGACCCCGUGGACCUUUACUACAGCUUGACACUGCUAUUUGGAUAAGAAUGUGCAGGAUAGGUGGGAGGCUUUGAGUAUAUGACGCCAGUUGUAUAUGAGCCAUUGUUGAGAUACCACUCUUUCUUAUUUGGGUAGCUAACCAGCUUGAGUUAUCCUCAAGUGGGACAAUGUCUGGUGGGUAGUUUGACUGGGGCGGUCGCCUCCCAAAUAAUAACGGAGGCUUACAAAGGUUGGC